Molecule: long non-coding RNA, 2008 nt
Organism: Labrus mixtus (cuckoo wrasse)
Lineage: Eukaryota; Metazoa; Chordata; Actinopteri; Labriformes; Labridae
Exons: 4
Source: RefSeq, a predicted model, not a curated record
AACAAAUCAAAAAACACAACCACAAAUUAAAAAACACAAUGAUAUUAACUUUAACGGAAAAGGUAGGUACCUGCAGUCGACAAGGGUCGUCGCUGAUUGGACGAACGCGAUGUCCAUCUUUUUAACCGGAAGUAAAUGCUUCAUACGCCUUUGGCAGAGAACUGUCAACAAAGUAAGCAGAGAUUUAAAAUUCAUGAUGUAUUGCCCAAAUUGUGGCAAAGAGCUCCCAGAAAAUGUACGGCCGAACUUUUGCAGUGGUUGUGGCAAGAGGUUACAAGAUUUUACAUCCAUUAAGAGUGAUUGUAUUAUCCCCUGUGACUGCUGAUAAACAUUGUUUGACUCUGAGGCAGUCACUUACAGACCUGGGGCCCGUUUCUGAAAGAAGGUUGAACAAACCCUCAGUCUAACCCUGAGCUCUGAGUUGAUUUACUCUCAGAUGGGAAACUCUGAGUUUUUGGUUCCAGAUCAGCAGAUUUAAAUUAGUUAAAUCAACUCUGAGUAGGUUCACUUGGUGUUCAGCGCGUGCACCACGACGAUAAAAAGCCAACAUGAAUGGAGCCCCGAUACUACGAUUUACCAUGGCAAUAGGUGACAAAAAAGAGAUCCUCCUAAUUUAACCAUCUCGAAAUACAUCAAUAUCUUCAUGUGGCCACAGGCUACGGCGAAUAUGAACAGAAAAGUGGUGUAAGAGAAAACAGCUGCUCGCGUCAGCACGUAAAGUCUAUUAAUUUAAUAUCUAAUCAGAAUUAUAAUAUUGCAGGUCAAAACUGAUGGAAUGGUAGGCUAUUAAACCUAUACAAUUUAUUUUCAUUAAGAUGCAAUCCAGCAGAAGAAAAUCGACUUUUAAACAGCUCAAAAUGAAAUAUAAUAACAUAAUAGGCUCAUAUAGAUUCAUAGUUAACUUCAUUCAGAGUUUAUUUGAAUGUGCAUUAACUUUAUCCUCAACAUAAAGCUGUAUUCACACACAUAGGCUAAAUGUCCUCUCACCUUUAUCCUGUUUAGUUUAGAAAUUAACCCUAUUAACAUCUCCCGACGUUAAUGUAGCAUAAGCUCUAAUUCUCUGAGGAGUAAUGCAGCCCCUUCUUACCGACUUAAAGACAUGCCAUGUUCGAUAAAACAGUUUGUUUUAUACGCUGUAGUAGGCUAUUGCCAUCCUAACAUAUCAUAUUAAAACAACCUGGAUUUUUAUUCAGACAAAUGGUGAAUCUUCACUAACACGGCGUGAUACGGACUGAAUGAAAUAAUGAGGAAAUUAAAUGGCAUUUCUGGCUCUGAAAGAGGGAGGAGACCUAGAGAAACUCGGGGUUCAUUGAAGAAAACCUGCUCCCGACCAGGUUAGGUUCACAGACUCAGUUACCAUAGUAACUGACUCAGAGGUAAAGUAACCUCUCCCUCUGAAACAGGCUGGAGUUACCCCUCUUUCUCGGGUUUGAGUGACCUCCUCUUCUGAAACGGAAUACCCAGAGUUUCCCUCAUUUCAGGGUUAACUGACUCAGAGUUUACACAAAACCUUCUUUCAGAAACGGCCCCCUGAUCUGUUAAUGUAUUUAGAUGUUUUCAAACCUUGGAGACGGUUCACACUUCACGGUUCUUGUCCUGAUUUUAGCUCCUUGUUUUUUAUUUUGCUGUUUCUUUGUUUUCAUGGCUUACUCUCAUUCGAAAAAAUACUAUGACAGUGUAUGUACUAACAAAUAUGAUGUAUUCUGCAUUUUUUUCCAGCAACAUAUGUUGGUUUUCAAUAAAUAAAACAAUACUUUAUGAUGGUAAAAUACUGGUGUGUACAGAUGUCAAUUGUGUAAUUUGUUGUGAAUUCUUUAGCUUGUGACUUCUGUAGCAUUAAUGCACAGUAUCUGCUGUUAACAUGGCAUACUAUACAAGGAAACUGUCAACUAGAUUUUCUAUAAACAUUUUUUCUCAGCUAUAUGUUUACUGUAACAUGGAAUAUGUGGUAAGGGCUUCAGUAUAGUCCAUAUCUAUAGCCCAGCUAUUUUGUGGCUGCUGUAAUCCA